RNAcentral lists this ribosomal RNA (656 nucleotides) under Podospora austroamericana. Its description in RNAcentral is "eukaryotic LSU rRNA". The stretch from base 289 to 442 matches the Rfam family "5.8S ribosomal RNA". The record is from RNAcentral. Lineage: Eukaryota; Fungi; Ascomycota; Sordariomycetes; Sordariales; Podosporaceae.
CAGGCCUUUGGCGGCACCCCCGGAGGGGGCCGGCCUGCCGAAGCAACUGUUCAGAGGUGGGUUCACGAUGGUUUAGGGGAGUCUUGCAACCCUUUAAUGUUCCGUAGGUGAACCUGCGGAGGGAUCAUUAAAGGGUUGCAAGACUCCCCUAAACCAUCGUGAACCCACCUCUGAACAGUUGCUNNUCGGCAGGCCGGCCCCCUCCGGGGGUGCCGCCAAAGGCCUGCCGAAGGUACCAAAACCAUUGUCUUUAGCAGGCCUCUCUGAGUAACGUACUUAAUAAGUCAAAACUUUCAACAACGGAUCUCUUGGCUCUGGCAUGGAUGAAGAACGCAGCGAAAUGCGAUAAGUAAUGUGAAUUGCAGAAUCCAGUGAAUCAUCGAAUCUUUGAACGCACAUUGCGCCCGCCAGUAUUCUGGCGGGCAUGCCUGUCCGAGCGUCAUUUCAGCCAUCAAGCCCCUGGCUUGUGUUGGGGACCUGCGUCCGACGCAGGCCCCGAAAACCAGUGGCGGGCUCGCUGUCCACACCGAGCGUAGUAGCUAACCUCGCUAUGGAGUGGCGCGGNGCGCCUGCCGUAAAACCCCCAAUUUUACAAGGUUGACCUCGGAUCAGGUAGGAAUACCCGCUGAACUUAAGCAUAUCAAUAAGCGGAGGAA